This 570-nucleotide long non-coding RNA is filed under the name Gossypium barbadense (sea-island cotton). RNAcentral describes it as "long non-coding RNA (GBAR_LNC016378)". The record is from RNAcentral. Lineage: Eukaryota; Viridiplantae; Streptophyta; Magnoliopsida; Malvales; Malvaceae.
UGUGGCAACAAUAAUCGGUGGGAACAAGUCUUGUAACAGCUUGAGGCAAACUAUGAAGGCAUCAACCAUUUUUAGUCUCUUUCUUGCUUCUCCCUUCUUGACUGAUUGUGUCAAAGAAGUCCCCAAUUUGCAGCCUUAAUUCACCAAAUUGAAGCUGCAAUUUUUAAGGCAGUAAACUAACUCCCAAACAGAGCAGCUAGAAGCUACUAAAACCAGUGCAGGCAGCAGCAACCAGCUGCUAUAGUCGGUGUAAUAAUAGCAGCUCCUCAAGCAAUUGUAAAAUCAUUGAAGCAAGGAAUGGACAAGAACAUGUAGCAGCAAAGAACGAUAUCAAGGAGGCAGAUCCAUAAACAGCAUCAGUAGCUCAUAUUUGGAACGGAAUUCAGCAACUGAAAACUAAAAGUUAGUCCUUUGGCAUCAAGAACUUGGACUACUAAUUUCCCUUUCUUCUCUUUCUCAUGAAUGUGUUGUAAACGAGUCUUAUUUCCUCCUCAAGCAUAAUACAGUAUUUAGCAACACUUGAUUUUGCCAACAUUCUUAAAUUUCCACUCAAUUACCUUAGUAUUCGGC